AAAUUCGAAAAGAAAGCUGCUUCUUCACAAGUUGCAUUUGGUUUUGGAGCGGCAUCGGCAUCAUCUUCGUUUAAAAUAUUUGGUGGAAUUUCCAAAGGUAAAGUUCCUACUCCAGGAUUGAGAGAAGAGUAAGAAUACAAAGAACCAUGGGAUUAUUACAGUUAUUAUCCCCUGACCCUUCCUAUGAGGAGACCAUAUUCGGGAAUUCCAGGUUUGUUG
Hibiscus syriacus is the source of this 219-nucleotide long non-coding RNA. RefSeq lists it as uncharacterized. The record is from RefSeq and is a predicted model, not a curated record. NCBI's taxonomy places the organism in Eukaryota, Viridiplantae, Streptophyta, Magnoliopsida, Malvales, Malvaceae. The transcript has 4 exons.